RNAcentral lists this ribosomal RNA (465 nucleotides) under uncultured bacterium. RNAcentral's name for it is "partial 16S ribosomal RNA". It matches the Rfam family "Bacterial small subunit ribosomal RNA", at positions 339 to 795 of the family's 1533-position model. The record is from RNAcentral.
CUACGGGCUGCUGCAGUGAGGAAUUUUGCGCAAUGGGGGCAACCCUGACGCAGCAACGCCGCGUGAGUGAAGAAGGCCUUUGGGUCGUAAAGCUCUGUCAACAGGGAAGAAGUUAUAAUUAUUUAAUAGAUAAUUGUAUUGACGGUACCUGUGGAGGAAGCGCCGGCUAACUCCGUGCCAGCAGCCGCGGUAACACGGGGGGCGCAAGCGUUAUUCGGAAUUAUUGGGCGUAAAGGGCGCGCAGGCGGUCUUGUCCGUCAGGUGUGAAAGCUCGGGGCUCAACCCCGGAAGUGCACUUGAAACAGCAAGACUUGAAUACGGGAGAGGAGAGAGGAAUUCCUGGUGUAGAGGUGAGAUUCGUAGAUAUCAGGAGGAACACCGAUGGCGAAGGCAUCUCUCUGGACCGAUAUUGACGCUAAGGCGCGAAGGCGUGGGUAGCGAACGGGAUUAGAUACCCCAGUAGUC